GCCAAGCGCGGUGGUGCGUGCCUAUAGUCCCAGCUACUUGGGUAGCUGAGGUGGGAGGAUCGCUUGAGCCCAGGAGUUCUGGGCUGGAGUGUGUUAUGCCGAUCAGGUGUCUGCACUAAGUUCGGCAUCAAUAUAGUGACCUCCUAGGAGUGGGGACCACCAGGUUGCCUAAGGAGGGGUGAACCAGCCCAGGUCGGAAAUGGAGCAGGUCAAAACUCCCAUGCUGAUCAGUAGUGGGAUCGUGCCUGUGAAUACCCACUGCCCUCCAGCCUGGGCAACAUAGUGAGACCCGGUCUCUU
This is an unclassified non-coding RNA of Callithrix jacchus (white-tufted-ear marmoset), 299 nucleotides long. It matches the Rfam family "Metazoan signal recognition particle RNA". Rfam says of the family: The signal recognition particle (SRP) is a universally conserved ribonucleoprotein. It is involved in the co-translational targeting of proteins to membranes. The record is from Ensembl. NCBI's taxonomy places the organism in Eukaryota, Metazoa, Chordata, Mammalia, Primates, Cebidae.